GAUGAAUGCUGGCGGCGUGCUUAACACAUGCAAGUCGAGCGAGGUGAUUCCUUCGGGAAGAACCUAGCGGCGGACGGGUGAGUAACACGUGGGUAACCUGCCCUAUAGAGGGGGAUAGCCUUCCGAAAGGAAGAUUAAUACCGCAUAAUAUUACUUUGAGGCAUCUUGAAGUAAUCAAAGGAGCAAUCCACUAUAGGAUGGACCCGCGGCGCAUUAGCUAGUUGGUGAGGUAACGGCUCACCAAGGCGACGAUGCGUAGCCGACCUGAGAGGGUGAUCGGCCACAUUGGGACUGAGACACGGCCCAGACUCCUACGGGAGGCUG
Molecule: ribosomal RNA, 324 nt
Filed under: uncultured Bacillota bacterium
Lineage: Bacteria; Bacillati; Bacillota
Description: bacterial SSU rRNA
Rfam family: Bacterial small subunit ribosomal RNA
Source: RNAcentral